This 432-nucleotide ribosomal RNA is filed under the name uncultured Alphaproteobacteria bacterium. Its description in RNAcentral is "bacterial SSU rRNA". It matches the Rfam family "Bacterial small subunit ribosomal RNA", at positions 9 to 489 of the family's 1533-position model. Lineage: Bacteria; Pseudomonadati; Pseudomonadota; Alphaproteobacteria. The record is from RNAcentral.
GAGUUUGAUCCUGGCUCAGAGCGAACGCUGGCGGCAGGCUUAACACAUGCAAGUCGAGCGCCCCGCAAGGGGAGCGGCAGACGGGAGAGUAACACGUGGGAACGUACCCUUCAGUUCGGAACAACCAAGGGAAACUUUGGCUAAUACCGGAUACGUCCGAAAGGAGAAAGAUUUAUCGCUGAAGGAUCGGCCCGCGUCUGAUUAGCUAGUUGGUGAGGUAAUGGCUCACCAAGGCGACGAUCAGUAGCUGGUCUGAGAGGAUGAUCAGCCUCACUGGGACUGAGACACGGCCCAGACUCCUACGGGAGGCAGCAGUGGGGAAUAUUGGACAAUGGGCGCAAGCCUGAUCCAGCCAUGCCGCGUGAGUGAUGAAGGCCUUAGGGUUGUAAAGCUCUUUCGUCAGGGAAGAUAAUGACGGUACCUGAAGAAGAA